Molecule: transfer RNA, 75 nt
Filed under: Leptolyngbya sp. 'hensonii'
Lineage: Bacteria; Bacillati; Cyanobacteriota; Cyanophyceae; Leptolyngbyales; Leptolyngbyaceae
Description: tRNA-Thr
Rfam family: tRNA
About the family: Transfer RNA (tRNA) molecules are approximately 80 nucleotides in length. Their secondary structure includes four short double-helical elements and three loops (D, anti-codon, and T loops).
Source: RNAcentral
GCAGAUGUGGUGUAACUGGCAACACAGGGGCUUGGUACGCUCCCGAUAUGGGUUCAACCCCCAUCGUCUGAUCCA